AGCAGCCGCGGUAAUUCCAGCUCCAAUAGCGUAUAUUAAAGUUGUUGCAGUUAAAAAGCUCGUAGUUGAAUUUCGGGAUUGACACAUCGGUCGUGCCUUAAGGGGUAUGAACUGGUGUAGUCAAUUUCUCACCUUCUGGAGAACCGCGAUGCCCUUAAUUGGGUGUCGCGGGGAACCAGGACCUUUACUUUGAAAAAAUUAGAGUGUUUAAAGCAGGCAUUUUGCUUGAAUACAUUAGCAUGGAAUAAUAAAAUAGGACGGCAUGAUUCUAUUUUGUUGGUUUCUAGGAUCACCGUAAUGAUUAAUAGGGAUAGUUGGGGGCAUUAGUAUUCAAUUGUCAGAGGUGAAAUUCUUGGAUUUAUUGAAGACUAACUACUGCGAAAGCAUUUGCCAAGGAUGUUUUCAUUAAUCAAGAACGAAAGUUAGGGGAUCGAAGACGAUCAGAUACCGUCGUAGUCUUAACCAUAAACUAUGCCGACUAGGAUCAGACGAUGUUAAUUUUUAAUGUACUCGUUUGGCA
This 520-nucleotide ribosomal RNA is filed under the name uncultured Entrophospora. RNAcentral's name for it is "SSU rRNA". It matches the Rfam family "Eukaryotic small subunit ribosomal RNA", at positions 569 to 1085 of the family's 1831-position model. The record is from RNAcentral. Lineage: Eukaryota; Fungi; Glomeromycota; Glomeromycetes; Entrophosporales; Entrophosporaceae.